This 226-nucleotide ribosomal RNA is filed under the name uncultured bacterium. RNAcentral describes it as "partial 16S ribosomal RNA". It matches the Rfam family "Bacterial small subunit ribosomal RNA", at positions 538 to 762 of the family's 1533-position model. The record is from RNAcentral.
GCGUUGUCCGGAUUUAUUGGGCGUAAAGAGCUCGUAGGCGGUUUAGUAAGUCGGGUGUGAAAACUCUGGGCUUAACCCAGAGACGCCAUCCGAUACUGCUGUGACUUGAGUUCCGGAGGGGAGCGGGGAAUUCCUAGUGUAGCGGUGAAAUGCGCAGAUAUUAGGAGGAACACCGGUGGCGAAGGCGCCGCUCUGGACUGAAACUGACGCUGAGGAGCGAAAGCAU